AGGCAGGGUGUGAGCGUGAGCAU
RNAcentral lists this microRNA (23 nucleotides) under Mus musculus (house mouse). RNAcentral describes it as "mmu-miR-7001-5p". Lineage: Eukaryota; Metazoa; Chordata; Mammalia; Rodentia; Muridae. The record is from miRBase by way of RNAcentral.